Molecule: ribosomal RNA, 277 nt
Filed under: uncultured bacterium
Lineage: Bacteria
Description: partial 16S ribosomal RNA
Rfam family: Bacterial small subunit ribosomal RNA
Source: RNAcentral
AAUCAACGCUGGCGGCGUGCCUCAGACAUGCAAGUCGAACGCGAAAGGACGCUUCGGCGUCCGAGUAGAGUGGCGCACGGGUGAGUAACACGUGGGUAAUUUACCUUCGGGUGGGGAAUAACAGCCGGAAACGGCUGCUAAUACCGCAUAAUGCAGCGGCUCCUCAUGGAGACAGUUGUUAAAGCGGGGGAUUCGUUUGAACCUCGCGCCGGAAGAGAAGCCCGCGGCAGAUUAGCUAGUUGGUAGGGUAAUGGCCUACCAAGGCGACGAUCUGUAG